UGUUUGUCUGCCUGCUUCAGAAUUUUCUUGGCUUUUGGUGUGUGGUUGCUCGUUUAACAUACGGGAGAUGGGAUGGGGCUAGUGAACUAUUGGGGCUUGGACUCGCUUGAACUGAUUCAGGUGCAUAACAGGAAAUUUUCAUGCUGCAGAUAUGAAACAACUGAUUAAACGAGGGAUCUGUAUACUACUUCAAUUGCAAAUAGUUUUUUUCUCAACAGAAAACUUAAUUAACAAACACGUUUUGGCAGAAGCGUUUGAGCAUCUUCUGUGUUGACUCUCUUAGCGAAGUGUAUUGCUUUUCAUUUCUUCAGCCUAAUGAUAACUUUAAACCGUUCACUUCUUUUAGUAUUGGAGUAACUGCCCUAAAGCCAUUUUGCUUUGAUUUAGCCUGGGCAAUAAUUUCUUCUGGACUGAAGAACCCGCCUAAUUUCUUAAGGUUAACUCCACUCAGCAAGUGAACAUCUUAGGUAGAAUGAUGAUCUGUUCAGGUUUUUAUUAUAAUAGACAAACUUUGCGUGUCUGCUCUGAUAGCUGUACAGAAACAUUUCAUACCAGAAGGAAGUGCUUGCCUCUGAGUGUUUUUGUUCUGCAGUCUUUUCUGUGUAUGCAGAUUCCUGUAUCUGCAGUGAAUUUCCACAGAAACUGAAAAUAUAAAAAAGAUACUAAAAUUAAAUGAAUAAAACUCAGGUACAUUGGGGAGGGGGGUAGUGGAAUAAGGGGGAAGGAGCAGGACCAUGCUUGUGAAUAAGUUGUACACAGGAUGCUUUUUGGCAUGUGCUCGGGGAAAUGAGCAAAGACAUAUAUAUAUAUAUAUAAAAGAUGUAAGGGAGCAUUAUGACAUCUUGUCAAAUACCUUCAGUUUUUCAUUUCUGCACUGGAGACACAGAUUUAUGUUUUCAUGUGAAUUUGUCUUGCAAAGAUAUUCCCCAUCUCCAUGUAAAGACAUUUUAUCAUCUGGCAAGGUCUUCGUUAUUAAUGAACUUAAGAAAAGCGUAAUGAUCAUUUCACCUGUACCAGUUUUACGGUGUAGACUAAUGCUUCCCCACCUUCCUCCCCAACUUAGCCAUACUCUCCUUGGCUGGUUUGGCAGAAGCAGGCUGCAGUGGCUUAAGGGAAAGAUGUUGUCUUAACAAUUCUAUGUAAAGUUUUGGGGGUUAAUUUACCUUUUAAAUUUUGCUUUAAGUAUUUUUAUUUUUUUCUUAUUAAGUAGUUACACUGUAAUGAAAAGUUGCCAUAAGAGGAAGUGGCCUUUAUUUACUAAAGAAAACAUCCUUGUUUUUGAAUUGUAGCAUAGGCUGGUUUAAAGGGGAAAGGAGAAUUGGAAAUGGAGUAUGGGACAUGAACACAUAAUCCAGAACAAUAUGUUACGUGAUUAAAGAUAAUUAAUCAUUAUCUAAAAGUAAUGAAUAGAGCUUCCUGACUCAACUUUGUCUGGAUGCGGAGGACACUUUUUUAGUUGAUAACCUCUUUGACUUUUAGGAUGCAUAUGUACAUAUGGGAACAGUUGUCUAGCCUCAAGAGCGUUUCAACUUCAGUUGCGUUUUGAGGAAGUUGAAUGGGAGUUCUCUUUAUAGAGUAACACUUCAUGGAAACAACUAUAUAAUGAGAAAAAAACAAGUUUUAAUUAGAAAACGUUUUUUUCUGGUUACUCUUUUGUGGUUUUAUGUCUCAUAUAGCUUUGUUUUGACACGUCAGGUCCUAGAUAUACUUGUAGGAAAAAUUAAUGUUCUGUUUAAUAAAAUAUAAGAUUAAGUGAAAAGAUUUUUGAAACAGAAGAGUUUUACACUUUAUUCAAAGGUUUUCUUCAUUGUGAAAGGAAGAAGUUUUGAGGGUUUGGAGAAGGUAUUAAUAUGAAGUUAUUAAAUGUCUAAACUCUUAAAGUGGAUGAAAAGUUGUUCUUUUGUGUCAUACAAUUUAUUUGGAUAGCUGCAGUAUGUUUGAAAUAGGAUGUCUGUGCUGAUUUUAAAUGAGGUUCAUAUAAAAAAACCUUAAAUUUGGUUGUACUUAAUCCAUUCGGAUUUGGAUGGUAGAGGUACUGAAAUAAAGGGACUUUAUAAAUAUGUAUGCAUAUUUAUGUAUAUAUGUAUUUGCAUAUAUAAAUAUAAACACAAGUCCCUUUAUAUGAAAAAUAAAAUCAAUCACUUAAAAAUAUGUAUGUAUGUUUAAAAAAAUGUUGUGUGUACAUACGCAAGCACCCGUACUAGACAUAUUCUGAAUUGUUGCUGAUAGAAAACAGAUUUUCCUUUUGCUCACUGGGGAAUUUAGCCUUCAAAGAAUAAUGUGCAAUUCUCCAUUACAGUCAGGGUUUCUUCUUUCAGUGAUGUUAGAGAUCUCUCCUUGUACAGCCUGUUGCAAAUCAGUCUGUAUAUGUACAAUAUUUAGUAUUUGUUUGAAUUCAGAAUUUCAUUGCACAAUUUGUUUAUUAAGGGAAAUCAAUAAAAAAAACAAACUGUGACAGAAAGAAGAAAGUUUUUCUACAUUGAAAAUGACUAUAAAGUCUACUUAUGACUCGGAAAGAUUUUGAGUGCUGUAUGUAGUCUUAAAGUGAGAUCAAUGAAAAACAACGUCCAGUUGGAGUCAGAGAAUACCGCUGUGUGACUUGAAAUGAUGGUGCUCUAAUGUACUCAACUGAAGUUUUUUAAUAAUAUGAUUCACAAUAAAGACUAGUUAUUUGAAGUUUUGCUUUUGAA
Molecule: non-coding RNA, 2690 nt
Organism: Anas platyrhynchos (mallard)
Lineage: Eukaryota; Metazoa; Chordata; Aves; Anseriformes; Anatidae
Source: RefSeq, a predicted model, not a curated record